GCAGUAACGGCGAGUGAAGCGGCAACAGCUCAAAUUUGAAAUCUGCCCGCAAGGGCCGAGUUGUAAUUUGUAGAGGAUGUUUUGGGUACCGCCACGGUUUAAUUUUCUUGGAACAGGAAGCCAAAGAGGGUGAGAGUCCCGUCUUGGACCGCGGUAGGGCUCGUGUAAAACUCCUUCGACGAGUCGAGUUGUUUGGGA
RNAcentral lists this ribosomal RNA (198 nucleotides) under Pseudocercospora arthrospora. Its description in RNAcentral is "Arthrophiala arthrospora partial large subunit ribosomal RNA". It matches the Rfam family "Eukaryotic large subunit ribosomal RNA", at positions 80 to 279 of the family's 3401-position model. Lineage: Eukaryota; Fungi; Ascomycota; Dothideomycetes; Mycosphaerellales; Mycosphaerellaceae. The record is from RNAcentral.